This 501-nucleotide ribosomal RNA is filed under the name uncultured bacterium. Its description in RNAcentral is "bacterial SSU rRNA". It matches the Rfam family "Bacterial small subunit ribosomal RNA", at positions 355 to 874 of the family's 1533-position model. The record is from RNAcentral.
UGGGGAAUCUUGGACAAUGGGGGCAACCCUGAUCCAGCCAUGCCGCGUGGACGAUGAAGGCCCUAGGGUUGUAAAGUCCUUUCACCGGUGAAGAUAAUGACGGUAGCCGGAGAAGAAGCCCCGGCUAACUCCGUGCCAGCAGCCGCGGUAAUACGGAGGGGGCUAGCGUUGUUCGGAAUUACUGGGCGUAAAGCGCGCGUAGGCGGAUUGUUAAGUCGGGGGUGAAAUCCCGGGGCUCAACCCCGGAACUGCCUUCGAUACUGGCAAUCUAGAGAUCUGGAGAGGCGAGUGGAAUUCCGAGUGUAGAGGUGAAAUUCGUAGAUAUUUGGAGGAACACCAGUGGCGAAGGCGGCUCACUGGCUCGAUACUGACGCUGAGGUGCGAAAGUGUGGGGAGCAAACAGGAUUAGAUACCCUGGUAGUCCACACCGUAAACGAUGAAUGCCAGUCGUCGGGUAGCAUGCUAUUCGGUGACACACCUAACGGAUUAAGCAUUCCGCCU